UUAACUUAAAUUUGUAUGAAGUUGGAACAGCGCCCCUAGCGGUAAACGUAGGCAAACGUUCCAGCUCCAUACAAAUUUGAGUUA
RNAcentral lists this microRNA precursor (84 nucleotides) under Bombyx mori (domestic silkworm). RNAcentral's name for it is "mir-2807 microRNA precursor family". It matches the Rfam family "mir-2807 microRNA precursor family". The record is from Rfam by way of RNAcentral. Lineage: Eukaryota; Metazoa; Arthropoda; Insecta; Lepidoptera; Bombycidae.